This 577-nucleotide ribosomal RNA is filed under the name uncultured Macrococcus sp. RNAcentral describes it as "bacterial SSU rRNA". It matches the Rfam family "Bacterial small subunit ribosomal RNA", at positions 348 to 916 of the family's 1533-position model. Lineage: Bacteria; Bacillati; Bacillota; Bacilli; Caryophanales; Staphylococcaceae. The record is from RNAcentral.
GCAGCAGUAGGGAAUCUUCCGCAAUGGACGAAAGUCUGACGGAGCAACGCCGCGUGAGUGAAGAAGGUUUUCGGAUCGUAAAACUCUGUUGUAAGGGAAGAACAAGUACGUUAGUAACUGAACGUACCUUGACGGUACCUUACCAGAAAGCCACGGCUAACUACGUGCCAGCAGCCGCGGUAAUACGUAGGUGGCAAGCGUUAUCCGGAAUUAUUGGGCGUAAAGCGCGCGUAGGCGGUCUCUUAAGUCUGAUGUGAAAGCCCCCGGCUCAACCGGGGAGGGUCAUUGGAAACUGGGAGACUUGAGUGCAGAAGAGGAGAGUGGAAUUCCAUGUGUAGCGGUGAAAUGCGCAGAGAUAUGGAGGAACACCAGUGGCGAAGGCGGCUCUCUGGUCUGUAACUGACGCUGAGGUGCGAAAGCGUGGGGAUCAAACAGGAUUAGAUACCCUGGUAGUCCACGCCGUAAACGAUGAGUGCUAAGUGUUGGGGGGUUUCCGCCCCUCAGUGCUGCAGCUAACGCAUUAAGCACUCCGCCUGGGGAGUACGGUCGCAAGACUGAAACUCAAAGGAAUUGACGG